Magnolia sinica is the source of this 2270-nucleotide long non-coding RNA. RefSeq lists it as uncharacterized. The record is from RefSeq and is a predicted model, not a curated record. Lineage: Eukaryota; Viridiplantae; Streptophyta; Magnoliopsida; Magnoliales; Magnoliaceae. The transcript is spliced from 12 exons.
UUUUUUCCAAUAGAUUUAAAGUGCGUGAAAAAAAAAAGAGAGGCCACACACGAUGCCUCGAAGUUUGGAAGAUGCAUGAAGGACAACGAAUUUCUAUUCCUAUUAGCACUUUAAGACAGCCCAUUGGGACAAUGUUAGCAAGCUAACAAACUUCAUGGGGACAAUAACACGCAAUGGGGAAUAUGCACCCCCUUACGUUUACUGAUUAGAGGGCAGUGUCAGAUGAGAGGAAGAAUGACAUGUGGGGACUUGUCAUGUCCAAGUUUGAGUUUGACGCAGAUGCGAAGUCUUGGGUGUUAAAAUCAAUUGGUAAAAAAUGGAGGGAUUGGAAGAGUGAGCUGAAAAAACUCCACUACUUACUUCAUGAGACUGACGAGGAGCGGCUCGUAACCUUGAUGAGCGGGCCCAAGAGGAUCAGUGGAGACCCUCAUUCAGUUUUGGAAGUUUGAAGAGGGGAAGGCUCAUAUUAAGACAAAUAUGGAGAAUCAGAAAAAAUAACUAAUCGGCCACGCUGUAGGCUCAAAGAGCUUUGCGCGGAUACAUGAGGAAGAGAGGAAGAAGAAGGUCAAUGGGGAGGAUUCGAGCCGGGCAGAUAUGUUCAUAUUGACUCAUACGUGCAAGAAUGAGAGGCUUGUGGAUGGAGCUUCAUUAAUAGCAAUGGAACAACUCAAUGAACGGAUUUCUCAGUAGCCCAAUACCUCGCAGAAUAGCACGGCAAUGAAUGAUGUAUUCUCUAAAGUAAUGGAAGAAGAUUGACAUGACUGAGUCCGCACUUACGGGUUAGGUCCCUCUCCGUCUGAUUUGUGGGGAACAAUUUAAUUGCAGGAACAACUCAAUGAAUGGAUUUCUUAGUAGCCCAAUACCUCACAGAAUAGCACGGCAAGGAAUGAUGUAUUCUCUGAAGUAAUGGAAGAAGAUUGACAUGACCGAGUCCGCACUUACGAGUUAGGUCCCUCUCCGUCUGAUUUGUGGGGAACAACACCUAGCCAGUGAAGGAUGACCUCCGCUGCUCAGAGUAUAGAUGAAAAAUACGAGGGACUGUAGAUUGAGAUAGCAUCCCUAAAAGCAAGAGAUGCUGAUAGAGGGGCUGGAAUGUCAUCAUUGAAAGAAACUGUGGUGCAGCUGAUGUCCUCCAUGACAAAUCCGAAAGCCACAAUAUCAGGUCAUUCAACUAAUCUCAACCCGAACCAACCGGCCUCAUCAUCAAGCUAGGGACACUCAGCGAAAAAGGGGAAGACUACAACUUGCAGGAGUGCUGGGGUUGUAGCAGAGAUGGAUUGAGCUAAAUGGAGGGAUCUUUUUUUUUUUUUUUACCUGAAAAAUUGCUUUCAUUUUGAAAACAUACGUAUAGUUUGGGUACAGUUGUUAGAUUUACUUGGCUAACCUUAGAUUGAAUUUCACUUGUAGCACUUUAUUUUUUUGGUUGAAUGUCAUAUCAUCUCUUUCAUUAGAUUGGUUUUGCUCUGAUCUUUCAAUCAUUCUCUAAUUUAAUUUUCAGCAUCUUACUUACUUUCAUUUGUGGAUGAUCUCGGCUUCCGCUUAGAUGAUUUCUAUAUCAGAUGGAAGCUGCAUUUAUUCCAGAAGUUAAUGAUGAAUUGGAUACUCAAAACUUCAACAAAUUUGAAGAGUCUGAAACCAAAUUCAAACUUCAUCAAAAUCAGGACCAUGGAGGAAUGUAAGCCUCUACAGUAUAGGCUUCAUCUAAACAACUGCUUGCUUGAAAUACAUGACAUGAAUCCUUCUCCGUUAUGAUGGGAUCUAUCUUACAAAAAUUUCAGUGGAGAUUUGCCAGUCUCAUUCAGUAAUUUGACAAAUCUUAACAUUCUUCAUUUACAGAACAACCAAUUCACCGGACUGGUAAUCUUCCUGGCUAAGCUUCCACUGUCUGAACUUAACGUCCAAAACAACCACUUCAGUGGUGUUGUCCCAAAGCAUUUUGAAACCAUUCCAAAUCUCAGUAUGGAGGGAAAAAGUGAGAGCCACCAUGUAGAUAUCCUGGAUUAAAAGUGAAUGGCCGUAUUAAGCAUUUGAUCGGGUUGAUGGCUCUUUCUAUUUGCAGGCAAGCUUUAGACCUCUCUGACAGCCUCAUUCAUGAUAACCUGAGGUUGAGACUUGUAUCAGGCUAUUUUGCACUUGUGUCAGUACAGUAUGACAAGAAACUCACUGAUUAUUUCAGGAUUUGGAUGAAGUCUUACCUUCUAACAUAGCAUGAGCUAUGACUUACGAUUACGAAUUCUCAUCUGGUUUUUAGUUAAGUCUAGAGAUUAAUU